RNAcentral lists this ribosomal RNA (235 nucleotides) under uncultured bacterium. RNAcentral's name for it is "partial 16S ribosomal RNA". It matches the Rfam family "Bacterial small subunit ribosomal RNA", at positions 100 to 334 of the family's 1533-position model. The record is from RNAcentral.
CGGGACGGGUGAGUAAUGUAUGGGGAUCUGCCUGAUGGCGGGGGAGUAACUACUGGAAACGGUAGCUAAUACCGCAUAAUGUCUGCGGACCAAAGCGGGGGACCGUCCGGGCCUCGCGCCAUCAGGUGAACCCAUAUGGGAUUAGCUAGUAGGUAAGGUAACGGCUUACCUAGGCGACGAUCCCUAGCUGGUCUGAGAGGAUGAUCAGCCACACUGGGACUGAGACACGGCCCAG